GGGUCGGUAACUCAAUGGUAGAGUAUCGGCCUUUUAAGCCGAGAGUUGUGGGUUCGAAUCCCACCCGACCCA
This 72-nucleotide transfer RNA is filed under the name Acidobacteriota bacterium. RNAcentral describes it as "tRNA-Lys". It matches the Rfam family "tRNA". Rfam says of the family: Transfer RNA (tRNA) molecules are approximately 80 nucleotides in length. Their secondary structure includes four short double-helical elements and three loops (D, anti-codon, and T loops). RNAcentral also lists the same sequence under 2 other names. The record is from RNAcentral. Lineage: Bacteria; Pseudomonadati; Acidobacteriota.